UGAUGGGAAUGUUGUUUGGCU
This 21-nucleotide microRNA is filed under the name Gossypium raimondii (Peruvian cotton). Its description in RNAcentral is "gra-miR166d". Its record names the gene gra-miR166d. Lineage: Eukaryota; Viridiplantae; Streptophyta; Magnoliopsida; Malvales; Malvaceae. The record is from miRBase by way of RNAcentral.